AUUGAACGCUGGCGGCAUGCCUUACACAUGCAAGUCGAACGGCAGCACGGGGGCAACCCUGGUGGCGAGUGGCGGACGGGUGAGUAAUGCAUCGGAACGUGCCCUGAAGUGGGGGAUAACGCAGCGAAAGCUACGCUAAUACCGCAUAUUCUGUGAGCAGGAAAGCAGGGGAUCGCAAGACCUUGCGCUUUGGGAGCGGCCGAUGUCGGAUUAGCUAGUUGGUGGGGUAAAGGCCUACCAAGGCGACGAUCCGUAGCGGGUCUGAGAGGAUGAUCCGCCACACUGGGACUGAGACACGGCCCAGACUCCUACGGGAGGCAGCAGUGGGGAAUUUUGGACAAUGGGCGAAAGCCUGAUCCAGCCAUGCCGCGUGAGUGAAGAAGGCCUCGGUUGU
Molecule: ribosomal RNA, 394 nt
Filed under: uncultured bacterium
Lineage: Bacteria
Description: bacterial SSU rRNA
Rfam family: Bacterial small subunit ribosomal RNA
Source: RNAcentral